RNAcentral lists this transfer RNA (75 nucleotides) under bacterium HR23. Its description in RNAcentral is "tRNA-Lys". It matches the Rfam family "tRNA". From Rfam's summary of the family: Transfer RNA (tRNA) molecules are approximately 80 nucleotides in length. Their secondary structure includes four short double-helical elements and three loops (D, anti-codon, and T loops). The record is from RNAcentral.
GCCCCGUUAGCUCAGCCCGGCAGAGCACCGGACUUUUAAUCCGGGUGUCCUGGGUUCGAAUCCCAGACGGGGCAC